This 253-nucleotide ribosomal RNA is filed under the name uncultured bacterium. RNAcentral's name for it is "partial 16S ribosomal RNA". It matches the Rfam family "Bacterial small subunit ribosomal RNA", at positions 524 to 776 of the family's 1533-position model. The record is from RNAcentral.
UACAGAGGUCCCAAGCGUUGUUCGGAUUCACUGGGCGUAAAGGGUGCGUAGGUGGUGAGGUAAGUCGGAUGUGAAAGCUCGGAGCUCAACUCCGAAAAGUCAUUGAAUACUAUCUGGCUGGAGGGUCGGAGGGGAGACUGGAAUUCUCGGUGUAGCAGUGAAAUGCGUAGAUAUCGAGAGGAACACCAGUGGCGAAGGCGAGUCUCUGGACGACACCUGACACUGAGGCACGAAAGCUAGGGGAGCAAACAGG